CUGGUGGUGCUGUGGUUAAGUGCUUGGCUGCUAACCAAAAGGUCAGUGGUUUGAACCCACUCUACUGGA
This 69-nucleotide transfer RNA is filed under the name Loxodonta africana (African savanna elephant). It matches the Rfam family "tRNA". From Rfam's summary of the family: Transfer RNA (tRNA) molecules are approximately 80 nucleotides in length. Their secondary structure includes four short double-helical elements and three loops (D, anti-codon, and T loops). The record is from Rfam by way of RNAcentral. Lineage: Eukaryota; Metazoa; Chordata; Mammalia; Proboscidea; Elephantidae.